RNAcentral lists this non-coding RNA (96 nucleotides) under Bacillus methanolicus. RNAcentral's name for it is "SAM-I sequence". It matches the Rfam family "SAM riboswitch aptamer (S box leader)". Rfam says of the family: The SAM riboswitch is found upstream of a number of genes which code for proteins involved in methionine or cysteine biosynthesis in Gram-positive bacteria. The record is from RNAcentral. RNAcentral also lists the same sequence under 1 other name. Lineage: Bacteria; Bacillati; Bacillota; Bacilli; Caryophanales; Bacillaceae.
UUUCUAUCCAGAGAGGCGGAGGGACUGGCCCAAUGAAACCUCGGCAACAGACUAUACUGUGCCAAUUCCAGCAAGCGAAUGCUUGAAAGAUAGGAA